CCUACGGGUGGCAGCAGUGGGGAAUAUUGGGCAAUGGGCGCAAGCCUGACCCAGCAACGCCGCGUGAAGGAAGAAGGCUUUCGGGUUGUAAACUUCUUUUAAGAGGGAAGAGCAGAAGACGGUACCUCUUGAAUAAGCCACGGCUAACUACGUGCCAGCAGCCGCGGUAAUACGUAGGUGGCAAGCGUUGUCCGGAUUUACUGGGUGUAAAGGGUGCGCAGGCGGCCUGUUAAGUCAGCGGUAAAAGCCCGGGGCUCAACCCCGGCGAGCCGUUGAAACUGGCGGGCUGGAGUUGGAGAGAAGUACGCGGAAUGCGCGGUGUAGCGGUGAAAUGCUUAGAUAUCGCGCAGAACCCCGAUUGCGAAGGCAGCGUACCGGCUCCACACUGACGCUGAGGCACGAAAGCGUGGGUAUCGAACAGGAUUAGAUACCCUUGUAGUC
Molecule: ribosomal RNA, 441 nt
Filed under: uncultured bacterium
Lineage: Bacteria
Description: partial 16S ribosomal RNA
Rfam family: Bacterial small subunit ribosomal RNA
Source: RNAcentral